GGCCUUUUGAUAUUGAUUUAAGGUCAGGCCUGCCCAAUGAUAAUUGAAUGGCUGCAGUAUUUUAACUGUACAAAGGUAGCAUAAUCAUUAGUUUCUUAAUUAGAAGCUCGUAUGAAUGGUUAAAUGAGAAAAUAACUGUCUUUAGUUAAAUUUUUAAAGAACUUUAUUUUUGAGUUAAAAAGCUCAAAUUUUUUUAAAAGACGAGAAGACCCUAUAGAGUUUAAUAGUUUAAUUUUUGUUAAUUUUAGGUAUUGAUAUUUAACGAAAAUAUGGUUAUUUGGUUGGGGUGAUUAGAAAAUUUAGUUAACUUUUGUUUUAUAAAAACAUAGAUUUAUGAAUGUUUGAUCCAUUAUUAGUGAUUAUAAGAUUAAAUUACCUUAGGGAUAACAGCGUAAUUUUUUUAGCGAGUUCUUAUCAAUAAAAAAGUUUGCGACCUCGAUGUUGGAUUAAAAUUAACUUUCGUUGCAGUAGUUGAAAAGUUAGGUCUGUUCGACCUUUAAAAUUUU
RNAcentral lists this ribosomal RNA (506 nucleotides) under Enochrus testaceus. RNAcentral describes it as "partial 16S ribosomal RNA". It matches the Rfam family "Bacterial large subunit ribosomal RNA", at positions 1819 to 2597 of the family's 2925-position model. The record is from RNAcentral. Lineage: Eukaryota; Metazoa; Arthropoda; Insecta; Coleoptera; Hydrophilidae.